Paramuricea clavata is the source of this 315-nucleotide non-coding RNA. The record is from the annotation of a GenBank genome assembly. Lineage: Eukaryota; Metazoa; Cnidaria; Anthozoa; Malacalcyonacea; Plexauridae.
CUCUAGUUGAUUUUAUGUUGAUUUCAGCCCCUUAGGUCGGCGCUUAUUCGGGUAGCGGCGCUUCAUCGAAUAUUCAUGGUAUUAAAGUUUAAUUGCAUACACAAUUACAUCAUAAUCCGCUUAUAUACACAUCAGCUGCUUCGUAGAAGAGGCCUUUCCGUUCAAUGUCUUCGAGUAAAAUUCUGCGAUAUAUUGUGGCCAAACCGUGACUAUAAUCGAAAAGUGGUCUGUGGAUGUAUUCAACUAGAACAGUCUCCACCGCAUCGAAAUGGAGACUACAACGUGUAAGAAAGCAAAUGAAAAUAAAUCUGAAAG